CCCGGGGUAGCUCAGUUGGCAGAGCGUCUGACUGUAGACAGAUAUUAGGUAGUCGGCGGUUCGAUUGCGUCCUACGGGA
This 79-nucleotide transfer RNA is filed under the name Gregarina niphandrodes. It matches the Rfam family "tRNA". Rfam says of the family: Transfer RNA (tRNA) molecules are approximately 80 nucleotides in length. Their secondary structure includes four short double-helical elements and three loops (D, anti-codon, and T loops). Further hydrogen bonds mediate the characteristic L-shaped molecular structure. tRNAs have two regions of fundamental functional importance: the anti-codon, which is responsible for specific mRNA codon recognition, and the 3' end, to which the tRNAs corresponding amino acid is attached (by aminoacyl-tRNA synthetases). tRNAs cope with the degeneracy of the genetic code in two manners: having more than one tRNA (with a specific anti-codon) for a particular amino acid; and 'wobble' base-pairing, i.e. permitting non-standard base-pairing at the 3rd anti-codon position. The record is from Rfam by way of RNAcentral. Lineage: Eukaryota; Apicomplexa; Conoidasida; Eugregarinorida; Gregarinidae.